This 475-nucleotide ribosomal RNA is filed under the name uncultured organism. RNAcentral's name for it is "partial 16S ribosomal RNA". It matches the Rfam family "Bacterial small subunit ribosomal RNA", at positions 335 to 801 of the family's 1533-position model. The record is from RNAcentral.
ACUCCUGCGGGAGGCAGCAGUGGGGAAUAUUGCACAAUGGGCGCAAGCCUGAUGCAGCCAUGCCGCGUGUAUGAAGAAGGCCUUCGGGUUGUAAAGUACUUUCAGCGGGGAGGAAGGCAAUACGGUUAAUAACCGUGUUGAUUGACGUUACCCGCAGAAGAAGCACCGGCUAACUCCGUGCCAGCAGCCGCGGUAAUACGGAGGGUGCAAGCGUUAAUCGGAAUUACUGGGCGUAAAGCGCACGCAGGCGGUCUGUCAAGUCGGAUGUGAAAUCCCCGGGCUCAACCUGGGAACUGCAUUCGAAACUGGCAGGCUUGAGUCUUGUAGAGGGGGGUAGAAUUCCAGGUGUAGCGGUGAAAUGCGUAGAGAUCUGGAGGAAUACCGGUGGCGAAGGCGGCCCCCUGGACAAAGACUGACGCUCAGGUGCGAAAGCGUGGGGAGCAAACAGGAUUAGAUACCCGUGUAGUCCCAUGAU